CGGUUUCGAAUUAAAAAUUCAUCGUCGGGUAUGUGACAGUCAGAAUGUAGAAAACUACGUUUUACAUUUUGACUUUUUGCGUUUUACAUUUUGACUGUCACAUACCCGACGAUGAAUUUUUAAUUCGAAA
Cinara cedri is the source of this 130-nucleotide non-coding RNA. Lineage: Eukaryota; Metazoa; Arthropoda; Insecta; Hemiptera; Aphididae. The record is from the annotation of a GenBank genome assembly.